This 427-nucleotide ribosomal RNA is filed under the name uncultured bacterium. RNAcentral's name for it is "bacterial SSU rRNA". It matches the Rfam family "Bacterial small subunit ribosomal RNA", at positions 920 to 1341 of the family's 1533-position model. The record is from RNAcentral.
GACCCCGCACAAGUAGUGGAGCAUGUGGUUUAAUUCGAAGAUACGCGUAGAACCUUACCAACACUUGACAUGUUCGUCGCGACUUUAAGAAGAUUAAAGUUUUCGGUUCGGCCGGACGAAACACAGGUGCUGCAUGGCUGUCGUCAGCUCGUGUCGUGAGAUGUUGGGUUAAGUCCCGCAACGAGCGCAACCCUCACUUUUAGUUGCCAUCAUUUAGUUGGGCACUCUGAAAGAACUGCCAGUGAUAAGCUGGAGGAAGGUGGGGAUGACGUCAAGUCCUCAUGGCCCUUACGUGUUGGGCUACACACGUGCUACAAUGGUAUCUACAACAGGAAGCAAGACGGCGACGUUAAGCAAAUCCUUAAAAGAUACCUCAGUUCGGAUUGCACUCUGCAACUCGAGUGCAUGAAGCUGGAAUUACUAGUAA